RNAcentral lists this ribosomal RNA (980 nucleotides) under uncultured organism. RNAcentral describes it as "bacterial SSU rRNA". It matches the Rfam family "Bacterial small subunit ribosomal RNA", at positions 162 to 1169 of the family's 1533-position model. The record is from RNAcentral.
GCUAAUACCGGAUAGACUUGUUCGGCCAAAAGAACAAUGAAAUGCUCCGGCGCUCUGUGAGGAGCCUGCGGCCCAUCAGCUAUUUGGCGGAGUAACGGGCCACCAAGGUAAAGACGGGUAGGGGGUGUAAGAGCAUAGCCCCGCACAAAGGGACUGGAACACGGACCAUACUCCUACGGGAAGCAGCAGCAGGGAAUAUUGCGCAAUGGACGGAAGAUCUGAUGCAGCGACGCCGUGGUGCAUAAGAAGAGCCUCGGGUUGUAAAAUCCUUUACAUGGGGAAGAGGAAGAACGGGUAGCCCUGGAACAAGUGUCGGCUACCUACGUGCCAGGAGACGCGGUACGGCGUAUGACACAAGCGUAAUCCGGAUUUACAUGGGCGUAAAGCGUCUGCAGGCGGACAUGUAAGUUGGGCGUGAAAGCUCCGGACCCAACCCGGAGAGGUCGUUCUAUACUGCGUGUUUAGAGGGUCUCUAAGGGGAGUGGAAUUUCCGGAGUAGCGGUAAUAUGCGCAGAGAUCGGAAAGAACACCAAUGUCGAAGGCAGCUCCCUGGGCUAACCCUGACGAUAACGAGGCGAAAGCUCGGGGGAGCGUACAGGAGUAGAGACCCUGCUAGUCCUAGCCCUAAACGAUGGAUGCUGGUAUGUGGGGCCAUAGCGCUCCGUCGUCGAAGCGUACGCGUUAAGCAUCCCGCCUGGGGUACUACGGCCGCAAGGUUAAAGCUCUAACGAAUGUGACGGGACACCCGCACAAGCAGCGGAGCGUAUGGUAUAAUUCGAUGCUACCCGUAGCACGUUACCUGGAUUCGACAUCUAGGUGGUAGUGAAACGAUAGCGGAGCGACCAUUCGGGGAGCCUAAACAGGUGCUGCAUGGCUGUCGUCAGCUCGUUCCGUGAGGUCUCGGGUUAAGUCCCGUAACGAGCGCAACCAUUGCCCUCCGUUAUACGUGUCAGAGGGGACUACUGUCGGUAAGCCGGAGG